Molecule: ribosomal RNA, 497 nt
Filed under: uncultured bacterium
Lineage: Bacteria
Description: partial 16S ribosomal RNA
Rfam family: Bacterial small subunit ribosomal RNA
Source: RNAcentral
GAUGAACGCUGGCGGCGUGCCUAAUACAUGCCAGUCGAGCGAACGGACGAGAAGCUUGCUUCUCUGAUGUUAGCGGCGGACGGGUGAGUAACACGUGGAUAACCUACCUAUAAGACUGGGAUAACUUCGGGAAACCGGAGCUAAUACCGGAUAAUAUUUUGAACCGCAUGGUUCAAAAGUGAAAGACGGUCUUGCUGUCACUUAUAGAUGGAUCCGCGCUGCAUUAGCUAGUUGGUAAGGUAACGGCUUACCAAGGCAACGAUGCAUAGCCGACCUGAGAGGGUGAUCGGCCACACUGGAACUGAGACACGGUCCAGACUCCUACGGGAGGCAGCAGUAGGGAAUCUUCCGCAAUGGGCGAAAGCCUGACGGAGCAACGCCGCGUGAGUGAUGAAGGUCUUCGGAUCGUGAAACUCUGUUAUUAGGGAAGAACAUAUGUGUAAGUAACUGUGCACAUCUUGACGGUACCUAAUCAGAAAGCCACGGCUAACUACGUG